CCUACGGGAGGCUGCAGUCGAGAAUCAUUCACAAUGGGGGAAACCCUGAUGGUGCGACGCCGCGUGGGGGAAUGAAGGUCUUCGGAUUGUAAACCCCUGUCAUGUGGGAGCAAAUUAAAAAGAUAGUACCACAAGAGGAAGAGACGGCUAACUCUGUGCCAGCAGCCGCGGUAAUACAGAGGUCUCAAGCGUUGUUCGGAAUCACGUGGCGUAAAGCGUGCGUAGGCUGUUUCGUAAGUCGUGUGUGAAAGGCGCGGGCUCAACCCGCGGACGGCACAUGAUACUGCGAGACUAGAGUAAGGGAGGGGGAACCGGAAUUCUCGGUGUAGCAGUGAAAUGCGUAGAUAUCGAGAGGAACACUCGUGGCGAAGGCGGGUUCCUGGACAUUAACUGACGCUGAGGCACGAAGGCCAGGGGAGCGAAAGGGAUUAGAUACCCCGGUAGUC
This 446-nucleotide ribosomal RNA is filed under the name uncultured bacterium. Its description in RNAcentral is "partial 16S ribosomal RNA". It matches the Rfam family "Bacterial small subunit ribosomal RNA", at positions 338 to 795 of the family's 1533-position model. The record is from RNAcentral.